GGUUAAGCGACUAAGCGUACACGGUGGAUGCCUAGGCAAUCAGAGGCGAUGAAGGACGUGCUAAUCUGCGAUAAGCGUCGGUAAGGUGAUAUGAACCGUUACAACCGACGAUUUCCGAAUGGGGAAACCCAGUGCAAUUCGUUGCACUAUCGUUUGAUGAAUACAUAGUCAAACGAAGCGAACCGAGGGAACUGAAACAUCUCAGUACCUCGAGGAAAAGAAAUCAACCGAGAUUCCCCUAGUAGCGGCGAGCGAACGGGGAGCAGCCCAGAGUCUUAAUCAGCAUUAGCAUCAGGAGAACGGUCUGGAAAGGCCGGCAGUAAAGGGUGAUAGCCCCGUAUCCGAAGGUGUUAGUGUUGUGAACUCGACGAGUAGGGCGGGACACGUGUUAUCCUGUCUGAAUAUGGGGGGACCAUCCUCCAAGGCUAAAUACUCCUGAUUGACCGAUAGUGAACCAGUACCGUGAGGGAAAGGCGAAAAGAACCCCGGCGAGGGGAGUGAAAUAGAACCUGAAACCGUGUACGUACAAGCAGUGGGAGCACCUUUAUGGUGUGACUGCGUACCUUUUGUAUAAUGGGUCAGCGACUUAUAUUCUGUAGCAAGGUUAACCGUAUAGGGGAGCCGUAGGGAAACCGAGUCUUAACUGGGCGAAUGAGUUGCAGGGUAUAGACCCGAAACCCGGUGAUCUAGCCAUGGGCAGGUUGAAGGUUGGGUAACACUAACUGGAGGACCGAACCGACUAAUGUUGAAAAAUUAGCGGAUGACUUGUGGCUGGGGGUGAAAGGCCAAUCAAACCGGGAGAUAGCUGGUUCUCCCCGAAAGCUAUUUAGGUAGCGCCUCGUGAACUCAUCUUCGGGGGUAGAGCACUGUUUCGACUAGGGGGUCAUCCCGACUUACCAACUCGAUGCAAACUACGAAUACCGAAGAAUGUUAUCACGGGAGACACACGGCGGGUGCUAACGUUCGUCGUGAAGAGGGAAACAACCCAGACCGCCAGCUAAGGUCCCAAAGUCAUAGUUAAGUGGGAAACGAAGUGGGAAGGCUCAGACAGCCAGGAUGUUGGCUUAGAAGCAGCCAUCAUUUAAAGAAAGCGUAAUAGCUCACUGGUCGAGUCGGCCUGCGCGGAAGAUGUAACGGGGCUAAACUAUGCACCGAAGCUGCGGCAGCGAUAUGUAAAUAUUGUUGGGUAGGGGAGCGUUCUGUAAGCCUGUGAAGGUGUACUGUGAGGUAUGCUGGAGGUAUCAGAAGUGCGAAUGCUGACAUAAGUAACGAUAAUGCGGGUGAAAAACCCGCACGCCGGAAGACCAAGGGUUCCUGUCCAACGUUAAUCGGGGCAGGGUGAGUCGACCCCUAAGGCGAGGCAGAAAUGCGUAGUCGAUGGGAAACGGGUUAAUAUUCCCGUACUGGUGAUAAUUGCGAUGGGGGGACGGAGAAGGUUAGGCUAGCCGGGCGACGGUUGUCCCGGUUUAAGGAUGUAGGCAGGUGAAUUAGGCAAAUCCGGUUCACUAUAUGCUGAGGUCUGAUGACGAGUCACUACGGUGGCGAAGUAGCUCAUACCCCGCUUCCAGGAAAAGCCUCUAAGCUCUAGAUUAUCAUUAAUCGUACCCCAAACCGACACAGGUGGUCAGGUAGAGAAUACUCAGGCGCUUGAGAGAACUCGGGUGAAGGAACUAGGCAAAAUGGUGCCGUAACUUCGGGAGAAGGCACGCUGGCAUUAGGUGAAGUGAUUUACUCAUGGAGCUGAAGCCAGUCGCAGAUACCAGCUGGCUGCAACUGUUUAUUAAAAACACAGCACUGUGCAAACACGAAAGUGGACGUAUACGGUGUGACGCCUGCCCGGUGCUGGAAGGUUAAUUGAUGGGGUUAUCCGUAAGGAGAAGCUCUUGAUCGAAGCCCCAGUAAACGGCGGCCGUAACUAUAACGGUCCUAAGGUAGCGAAAUUCCUUGUCGGGUAAGUUCCGACCUGCACGAAUGGCGUAAUGAUGGCCAGGCUGUCUCCACCCGAGACUCAGUGAAAUUGAACUCGCUGUGAAGAUGCAGUGUACCCGCGGCAAGACGGAAAGACCCCGUGAACCUUUACUAUAGCUUGACACUGAACAUUGAGCCUUGAUGUGUAGGAUAGGUGGGAGGCUUUGAAGCGUGGACGCCAGUCUGCGUGGAGCCAACCUUGAAAUACCACCCUUUAAUGUUUGAUGUUCUAACGUAGCCCCGUAAUCCGGGGUGCGGACAGUGUCUGGUGGGUAGUUUGACUGGGGCGGUCUCCUCCCAAAGAGUAACGGAGGAGCACGAAGGUUGGCUAAGCAUGGUCGGACAUCAUGCGGUUAGUGCAAAGGCAUAAGCCAGCUUGACUGCGAGAGUGACGGCUCGAGCAGGUACGAAAGUAGGUCUUAGUGAUCCGGUGGUUCUGUAUGGAAGGGCCAUCGCUCAACGGAUAAAAGGUACUCCGGGGAUAACAGGCUGAUACCGCCCAAGAGUUCAUAUCGACGGCGGUGUUUGGCACCUCGAUGUCGGCUCAUCACAUCCUGGGGCUGAAGUAGGUCCCAAGGGUACGGCUGUUCGCCGUUUAAAGUGGUACGCGAGCUGGGUUUAGAACGUCGUGAGACAGUUCGGUCCCUAUCUGCCGUGGGCGUUGGAAGAUUGAAAGGGGCUGCUCCUAGUACGAGAGGACCGGAGUGGACGCACCACUGGUGUUCGGGUUGUCAUGCCAAUGGCAUUGCCCGGUAGCUAAGUGCGGAAGAGAUAACCGCUGAAAGCAUCUAAGCGGGAAACUUGCCUUGAGAUGAGUCUUCCCUGACCCUUUAAGGGUCCUAAAGGAACGUUUAAGACUAAGACGUUGAUAGGUUGGGUGUGUAAGCGUAGCGAUACGUUGAGCUAACCAAUACUAAUGAACCGUGAGGCUUAACCUG
This 2906-nucleotide ribosomal RNA is filed under the name Providencia sp. PROV188. RNAcentral describes it as "23S ribosomal RNA". It matches the Rfam family "Bacterial large subunit ribosomal RNA". The record is from RNAcentral. Lineage: Bacteria; Pseudomonadati; Pseudomonadota; Gammaproteobacteria; Enterobacterales; Morganellaceae.